AGCGGUGAAAUGCGUAGAUAUUAGGAGGAACACCAGUGGCGAAGGCGACUUUCUGGACUGUAACUGACACUGAGGCUCGAAAGCUAGGGGAGCGAACGGGAUUAGAUACCCCGGUAGUCCUAGCUGUAAACGAUGGGUAGUAGGUGUAGGAGGUAUGGACCCCUUCUGUGCCGGAGUUAACGCAAUAAGUACUCCGCCUGGGGAGUACGGCCGCAAGGUUGAAACUCAAAGGAAUUGACGGGGGCCCGCACAAGCGGUGGAGUAUGUGGUUUAAUUCGACGCAACGCGAAGAACCUUACCAGGACUUGACAUUGAUUGAAAAGUAUAGAGAUAUAUUCCUCUUCUUCGGAAGACAAGAAAACAGGUGGUGCAUGGCUGUCGUCAGAUCGUGUCGUGAGAUGUUGGGUUAAGUCCCGCAAAGAGCGCAACCCCUAUCCUAUGUUGCCAGCACGUAAAGGUGGGAACUCAUGGGAGACUGCCGCGGAGAACGCGGAGGAAGGCGGGGAUGACGUCAAGUCAUCAUGCCCCUUAUGUCUUGGGCUACACACGUACUACAAUGGGCUUAAAUAGAGGGAAGCAAGACCGCGAGGUGGAGCCAAACCCACAAACAAGCUCUCAGUUCGGAUUGUAGGCUGCAACUCGCCUACAUGAAGUCGGAAUCGCUAGUAAGCGCAGGUCAGCAUACUGCGGUGAAUACGUCCCGUGGCAGGUACACACCGCCCGUCACACCACGAAAGUCAGUCACACCCAAAGCCG
Molecule: ribosomal RNA, 756 nt
Filed under: uncultured bacterium
Lineage: Bacteria
Description: bacterial SSU rRNA
Rfam family: Bacterial small subunit ribosomal RNA
Source: RNAcentral